CCCUUGAAAUAGUUGAAGCUGCCAGCAUGAUCUGAUGUUACCUUUGUAUUACGGUAGGAAUAGAUCAUGUUGCAGUUUCACCUGUUGAAUGG
This is a non-coding RNA of Lupinus albus (white lupine), 92 nucleotides long. The record is from the annotation of a GenBank genome assembly. NCBI's taxonomy places the organism in Eukaryota, Viridiplantae, Streptophyta, Magnoliopsida, Fabales, Fabaceae.